GGGGGUGUGGCGGAAUGGUAGACGCGCCUGACUCAAAAUCAGGUUUCGCAAGAAGUGUCGGUUCGAGUCCGACCACCCCUA
This 81-nucleotide transfer RNA is filed under the name Paracoccus pantotrophus. RNAcentral's name for it is "tRNA-Leu". It matches the Rfam family "tRNA". From Rfam's summary of the family: Transfer RNA (tRNA) molecules are approximately 80 nucleotides in length. Their secondary structure includes four short double-helical elements and three loops (D, anti-codon, and T loops). Further hydrogen bonds mediate the characteristic L-shaped molecular structure. tRNAs have two regions of fundamental functional importance: the anti-codon, which is responsible for specific mRNA codon recognition, and the 3' end, to which the tRNAs corresponding amino acid is attached (by aminoacyl-tRNA synthetases). tRNAs cope with the degeneracy of the genetic code in two manners: having more than one tRNA (with a specific anti-codon) for a particular amino acid; and 'wobble' base-pairing, i.e. permitting non-standard base-pairing at the 3rd anti-codon position. Lineage: Bacteria; Pseudomonadati; Pseudomonadota; Alphaproteobacteria; Rhodobacterales; Paracoccaceae. The record is from RNAcentral.